This 1498-nucleotide long non-coding RNA is filed under the name Macaca fascicularis (crab-eating macaque). Its description in RNAcentral is "lncRNA (ENSMFAG00000056881.1)". Lineage: Eukaryota; Metazoa; Chordata; Mammalia; Primates; Cercopithecidae. The record is from RNAcentral.
UUUUUUUUUUUUUUUUUUUAUGACCCCAUACUGCUGUCCAUGAAAUGGAUGCAGUACUCUGAAAUCAGUAAAUUCAAUCAAGUCAAAUGUAUGUUUUGAAAAAAGUCAAGAAUGAAGAAAUAGAGUUUGAAGAACAUUCAACAUUCAUGAGGUGUGCCCAUUUCAGGUCACUGGAGACAUUUCUCUGGUGCAAAGGUUUUCCUAAUAAAGGGUUUCAUUGGCCAGUUGGAUCGAGACAUGAACACACUGAUAUUUUGCUUCUAGCAAUACCUUAAACCCCCAGUUAGGUAAGUAUAAAAAACGGCAAUGGCCUUGAGAGUGCAGCAUGGUUUAUACAUGGCAUACACAUCUUUGAGGAUUUGGAGAAAUCUACAAGGGAUCCAAUGCUUUUCCACCUAUUGACAUUUACAAAGCAGUUUAAAUCAUGCAUGAGAGGCCUCAGGCACAUGCAGUUCACAAAACAUAACUCUGAGCUCCCAGGGAAUUUAAGCUGACCAACACUCUUUAUUAGAACCGACAGUGAAAGACAGCUAUUGCGAAAUUCGUACCAGAAAUGCAAUACCAAGAUGACAGCCUUAAUGCCAGUGGAUAUAUUAUGUAGAUUACCUGACUCAAAUCUUUCUUGUUAAAUAAGUUUCAUGCAUUCUUUUUUUCUCCUCAAGAAUAUCCUUCUAGCUUCACUGGGGGAGUAUUCCUUAAGUUCCUUGAUCAUUCAUCUGUUUUUCAAUAUUUUGGACAUACUAACUUAGCACGAAAGAUCAGAUAGAGAUAUUUAAACAGUGGGAAACAGUUAAACCUUUAAAUGAACAACAGAGCUGAACCACAGAUUAAAUAUUUCAAUGCUAUUUUUUGUAUAAUGUUCCAAUAUUUAAUAGUUUUUAAAAAGAAACAUUUUCCUAAGGCUGAUCCAUUCCAGAUAUCCAAUUCCCAUGUAAUCUAAGAUUACACACAUACCAAAAUGUAAUUAUACAUUAAAGAUACUUUCACCUGCAUGCUUUUACAGGACAGGAAUUUCAAGGAAAUAAGUUCCCAAUACAAGCUGGCCAGGGACAAAAGACAAGAAAUAUACCUUUCCUCUCCAAUCUUCAUAGAAAUUGAAAUACAAUGUAGAUGUUUUCAAUCCUGCUUGACUAAGAGACUGAAGGAAGAGGUCAACAUGACUAAGACCAGAAAAGGAAGUCUGUGGGUAAUUUGGCACUGGUGACAAUUGGCCCAAAGGCAAAUUUGGCAGAGGCUAAAUUAGAGUGAAUUAUUUGGAGGUUUCUUGGUUUCUGAAUGGAUCGGAUUAUUUGCUUCAUAUUCUGGACCUUCCAAGCUGCCUCAACCUUAUGCACCCAGUGUUAAAUGUUAUCAGUACUUAAAUGGCAGCACUGUCGUCUUCCUUUUCUAAGCAACACAGUCACAGUAAAUUAAAGCAACUCCAUACAUGCUUCUGUAGUUAAGGUUCACAUCCCUUGGAAUGUGCUCAAUUUUUGUGUACAGUAUGUAUCAAGCUACC